This 1350-nucleotide ribosomal RNA is filed under the name metagenome. RNAcentral describes it as "bacterial LSU rRNA". It matches the Rfam family "Bacterial large subunit ribosomal RNA", at positions 1567 to 2925 of the family's 2925-position model. The record is from RNAcentral.
UACGUCCACACCUUUUAGGUGUGGGCCAGUUGGCUGUCAUACUUCCAAGAAAAGCUCGAACUACUGUAAAGCAUCAAAUACCUGUACCGUAAACCGACACAGGUGGGUUGGUAGAGUAUACCAAGGGGCGCGAGAUAACUCUCUCUAAGGAACUCGGCAAAAUGACCCCGUAACUUCGGGAGAAGGGGUGCCAAGUAACUAAAAUUGCUUGGUCGCAGUGACCAGGCCCUGGCGACUGUUUAUCAAAAACACAGGUCACCGCAAAGUCGUAAGACAACAUAUGGGGGCUGACGCCUGCCCAGUGCCGGAAGGUUAAAGAAGUUGGUUAUUCAUUCGUGGAGAAGCUGACGACUGAAGCCCCGGUGAACGGCGGCCGUAACGAUAACGGUCCUAAGGUAGCGAAAUUCCUUGUCGGGUAAGUUCCGACCCGCACGAAAGGCGUAACGAUCAGGGCACUGUCUCGGAGAGAGACUCGGUGAAAUAGACAUGUCUGUGAAGAUGCGGACUACCUGCACCUGGACAGAAAGACCCUAUGAAGCUUGACUGUAGCCUGGAAUUGGGUUCGGGCUCUUCUUGCGCAGCCUAGGUGGGAGGCGUUGAAAGCUUUCUUUUGGGAAAGCUGGAGCCAUCAGUGAGAGACCACUCUGGAGGAGCUAGAAUUCUAAUGGCGUUCCUUGAAGCAGGACGCUUGACAGUUUCAGGUGGGCAGUUUGACUGGGGCGGUCACCUCCUAAAAGGUAACGGAGGUGUGCAAAGGUUCCCUCAGGCUGGACGGAAAUCAGCCGUAGAGUGUAAAGGCAGAAGGGAGCUUGACUGCAAGACCUACAAGUCGAGCAGGGGCGAAAGCCGGCCUUAGUGAUCCGACGGUUCCAUGUGGAAGGGCCGUCGCUCAACGGAUAAAAGUUACUCUAGGAUAACAGGCUGAUCUUCCCCAAGAGUUCACAUCGACGGGAAGGUUUGGCACCUCGAUGUCGGCUCAUCGCAACCUGGGGCGGUAGUACGUCCCAAGGGUUGGGCUGUUCGCCCAUGAAAGCGGUACGUGAGCUGGGUUCAGAACGUCGUGAGACAGUUCGGUCCAUAUCCGGUGUAGGCGUUAGAGCAUUGAGAGGAGCCUUCCAUAGUACGAGAGGACCUGGAAGGACGCACCUCUGGUAUACCAGUUAUCAUGCCAAUGGUACACGCUGGGUAGCCAUGUGCGGAGUGGAUAACCGCUGAAAGCAUCUAAGUGGGAAGCCCACCUCAAGAUGAGUGCUCUCCAUCAGGUCACAGGAAGACAACCUGUUUGAUAGGCAGAAGGUGUAAGGCUAGUAAUAGUUUCAGCUGAUCUGUACUAAUAGACCGAUUGAUUUU